This 1260-nucleotide long non-coding RNA is filed under the name Marmota monax (woodchuck). The record is from RNAcentral. Lineage: Eukaryota; Metazoa; Chordata; Mammalia; Rodentia; Sciuridae.
UUGCUCAUUCCAAUUCAGAUCCUGCUUCCAGUCUGCUGACUUGUGAGUUCAAGUAAACCGAGGACCUAGAAGAAAUAUAACCAUCCCUGGGAACUAAUAAACCUUCAGAGGUCACACAGUACAGAGUGACAGUGGAGUCCAGUCUGUGGUAGCAAGGAUGCUAGAAGAACUUUAAUCUUACUUGGUUCGUGAUCACUGUGAAGACUGACAGUCCAUAUCACCUUUUGUUCUCAUAAGUGUCUACCAUGAACCUAUUAACUGUACUAGACUUGUGUAUAGUGUUGAGAAAAUAGAUGUAGUCCUCAUUUUACAUGCUAACACAAAGAUACAUAAUACCAGCUUGGGAGGGUGGGGUCUGCUGAGAUAAGUUAGCUGAGACUUCCCAAUCAACUGUGGGUGGACUGAAUCCACUGCUUCGGCUACAAACCUCCUUUGAUGGUGAUGAGCCUGGAGAUCCAUGCACCCUAGGACCCAUUGGAGAACACAGACCUGGGGCUCACAGUUUUAUUUUCGCACAAUAUCAGCAGGAUGAUGUCCAAGGAUUUGAUGGAUGCAGCCAAGCCUCACUUACAGGCCCCAGUGGUCCCUCUAGGAACUGCACAGAAUUGUAUUGUUGCUAAAGAGUGUCUGCUAGUUCUUGGGGAUCUAUGAAUAGGCUUAGGAUGCACUCUGCCUCAUUCGUGGCUGGAAUCCAGUGUCAUCUACUCAUUAGGCAUCACAGCAGAUAUCAGGGCAGUUUUAGAUGUAUGGAGAGAAGUUCAUGAUAGACAGAUAUAUAGACAGAUAGAUAGAUCUCUUUCUCUUUUAACAUUUAUAUACAUAUAAAUUAAAGUACAACUAAACUGUAGAUAUAUAUUAUAUAUUCUACACACUACACACACAAAUAGAGUUUAACUGCAGUAUAAUUAUUUGUAGUUUUGGGGGGGCGGUAUAAAAAAAAACAGAGGUGCUUUACCACUGAGUCAAAUCCCCAGCCCUUUUUAAUUUUUGUUUUGAAACAGGGUCUUGCUGAGUUGCUCAGGGCUUCACUAUGAGACAAAGACUGGCCUUGAACUUGCAAUCCUGUUGCCUCGGCCUCCUAGUUCUCUGGGAUUGCAAAUGUGUGCCACCAUGCCCAGUUAAGUAUAAUUUCGUAACAUAAAAUUCAUUCAUUUUAAUCAUACACAUAGUUUUAGUAAAUGUAGUAUAAUUAUUGAGUUGUGUAAUCACCACUGCAUUCUAAUACUAGUGCAGUCCUAUCAACCCAAAAAGAAACCUUGC